ACAGUACGGAUGUGAAGUUUGAAGUAGAAAUGAAGUUUGAGGGUCCUAAGGAAUUUAAAGAUACUGUUCAGAGAUAUGCUAUAGUUAAUGGAUACAAUCUUAUAUGGAAAAGAAGUGGUAAGAAAAACAUGAGGGUCAAAUAUAUGGACAAGUGCCAUUAGAAGAUAUAUGCAAGCUGGAUGUAGAUCGAGAAGAUAUUU
RNAcentral lists this long non-coding RNA (200 nucleotides) under Elaeis guineensis (African oil palm). Its description in RNAcentral is "long non-coding RNA (EGUI_LNC026008)". The record is from RNAcentral. Lineage: Eukaryota; Viridiplantae; Streptophyta; Magnoliopsida; Arecales; Arecaceae.